GGGCAGGUAGAUCAGCUGGAAGAUCGCUACCUUGGCAUGGUAGAGGCCUCGGGUUCAAAUCCCGACCUGUCCAUCA
Molecule: transfer RNA, 76 nt
Filed under: Methanothrix thermoacetophila PT
Lineage: Archaea; Methanobacteriati; Methanobacteriota; Methanomicrobia; Methanotrichales; Methanotrichaceae
Description: tRNA-Ala
Rfam family: tRNA
About the family: Transfer RNA (tRNA) molecules are approximately 80 nucleotides in length. Their secondary structure includes four short double-helical elements and three loops (D, anti-codon, and T loops). Further hydrogen bonds mediate the characteristic L-shaped molecular structure. tRNAs have two regions of fundamental functional importance: the anti-codon, which is responsible for specific mRNA codon recognition, and the 3' end, to which the tRNAs corresponding amino acid is attached (by aminoacyl-tRNA synthetases). tRNAs cope with the degeneracy of the genetic code in two manners: having more than one tRNA (with a specific anti-codon) for a particular amino acid; and 'wobble' base-pairing, i.e. permitting non-standard base-pairing at the 3rd anti-codon position.
Source: RNAcentral